UCUGCCUUGGUACCUAAGGAGGAAGAGGAGGAGGAGGAGGGUGUGUUACUGAAUGGUGGCUAAAGCCUCCUCGGGACGGCGCUGAGGUGAAACAGGCUGAACCCGACUGAUGUGGCUCCUCUCUCGGUUGGACCCAGUGCCCUAAGCAGCCGAUGAGAGACCCCCGGCCGCCCGUCUCGCAGGUUUCUUUUUAGUGCUGAAAUGGACACACUAAUUGUGAACCACGUGGCAAGGAGCUCCUUCUAAAAUAUGCAGCAGCACAUUUACUGGAAUUUAACAGGCUGAGUACUUUAAAGCCUCUCUUGCCUGUAAGCAUGUGAACAGACCUGGCAAGUCACAAAGCCAGCUCGAGAUCCAGCACAGCACAGAACAGCAGCCCUGGAACAGCCCCUGCCACUGGGCAAGGGACAGAAAGGAGAUGGUGACCUGCAACGGGAGGAGAGACCUCACUUACAGGAUUUGCUCACGGUUUUGCUUCUGGCAACUAACAUUUCCAUUUUUCUCAAAGCUUCUACAUCUGUGUCAUCAGACAAAGCCCCACGAGUGGUGGCAGAGCAAACUGUAGCCUUCAAGUUCGAAGAGAAAAAAAUUAUUUACAUGUCUAAAUCCCAGAACUGGCUGUCUAGAGGUCACUCUUUGUUGCCCACUGCUAUAAACCAUUAAGGCUUCCCAAAGCUCUAAAAGAAAUGGGACAUAGUCUGGGGCAGAAAAACCUCUUGUUUUAAAUUUGCUUAAAUUCUUUUUCAUUAUAUUAUAUGAUUUUUGUUCUACCAGAGGAACAUGAAAGAUGGGCUGUUUCUAUCAUUGCUUGCAUGAAUGACUACUUAAAUUGACUGUCAGAGCUUGCAGGACAAAUCUUUGAGCCUUCUUAAGUUUGUUUUAAACUGAAAGAAAUGAUCUUUUAAUUGAUUAGGACUUUAGGCUAUUUUAAAAGGAAAAUUAUUGAUUCAUGUAAUGAAUUUUACUGUUUUAUCAGCCUCCCACCUCAAUAUAUAUAUAUAUUUUUAAUUACAAAUUUAGGUAAAUGUUUAACUAUGUGUUUUAAUGUUGCCCUGCCUUUUUUUUUUCCCUUUCCUGUUUAAGACAGGUUUUUCUGAAUCAAACCCUGGAAUUUAGUGACAAUUACUACAAUUUCCAGACAUAUCAGCAAGAGUUUCUGUACUAAGUGUAGGAAUGUAGAUGUUAAGAGGAUGAACAAGUAAUGACUUUUUUUUCCAUUCACAAAGGAAACACUAAGACAUCAAGGUUCUUCAACAGAAAUUAAUAAAUGCAGCCUGGAAAGUUAUUAUUUUUCCAAACUGUGAGAGGAUCUCUGAAAGAAUAAAGAUGACAUA
Molecule: long non-coding RNA, 1334 nt
Organism: Motacilla alba alba
Lineage: Eukaryota; Metazoa; Chordata; Aves; Passeriformes; Motacillidae
Exons: 2
Source: RefSeq, a predicted model, not a curated record